AAGACUAUAGACCUGCGGAGUACCUGCGGAAGGAUCAUUACAGAGUUACUACUCCAAACCCAUUGUGAACCUUACCUAUGUUCUGUUGCCUCGGCGGCGCGGUCAGCGCCCCUCUGAAAAGAGGACGAUGCCCUCCCGCCGGCAGCACCAAACUCUUGAAUUUUACAGCGGAUUACAGUUCUGAUUUAAAAACAAAAAAAACAAGUUAAAACUUUUAACAACGGAUCUCUAGAUCGGAAG
Molecule: unclassified non-coding RNA, 240 nt
Filed under: soil metagenome
Description: partial contains 5.8S ribosomal RNA, internal transcribed spacer 2, and large subunit ribosomal RNA
Source: RNAcentral